CGUUAAGAAGCUAAUAUAAGCAUUAACCUUUUAAGUUAAAGAUAGGGAGCCUACACUUCCCCUUAACGA
RNAcentral lists this transfer RNA (69 nucleotides) under Procavia capensis (Cape rock hyrax). Its description in RNAcentral is "tRNA (ENSPCAG00000020695.1)". Lineage: Eukaryota; Metazoa; Chordata; Mammalia; Hyracoidea; Procaviidae. The record is from RNAcentral.